Molecule: ribosomal RNA, 497 nt
Filed under: uncultured bacterium
Lineage: Bacteria
Description: partial 16S ribosomal RNA
Rfam family: Bacterial small subunit ribosomal RNA
Source: RNAcentral
GACGAACGCUGGCAGCGUGCCUAAUACAUGCAAGUAGAACGCUGAAGAGAGGAGCUUGCUCUUCUUGGAUGAGUUGCGAACGGGUGAGUAACGCGUAGGUAACCUGCCUUGUAGCGGGGGAUAACUAUUGGAAACGAUAGCUAAUACCGCAUAACAAUGGAUGACACAUGUCAUUUAUUUGAAAGGGGCAAUUGCUCCACUACAAGAUGGACCUGCGUUGUAUUAGCUAGUAGGUGAGGUAAUGGCUCACCUAGGCGACGAUACAUAGCCGACCUGAGAGGGUGAUCGGCCACACUGGGACUGAGACACGGCCCAGACUCCUACGGGAGGCAGCAGUAGGGAAUCUUCGGCAAUGGGGGCAACCCUGACCGAGCAACGCCGCGUGAGUGAAGAAGGUUUUCGGAUCGUAAAGCUCGGUUGUAAGUCAAGAACGGGUGUGAGAGUGGAAAGUUCACACUGUGACGGUAGCUUACCAGAAAGGGACGGCUAACUACGUG